AAGGUAUGGUGAGGACACUAUCUAAUCAUCUCCUUGAAUCUCUCCUAACCUUCAUAAAUAGAUUCUCCUUCUAACGAAAUAAAAGAAGUAAUAUAAUUUCUAGGUUU
This is a small nucleolar RNA of Dendrobium catenatum, 107 nucleotides long. Lineage: Eukaryota; Viridiplantae; Streptophyta; Magnoliopsida; Asparagales; Orchidaceae. The record is from RefSeq and is a predicted model, not a curated record.